AGAUUGAACGCUGGCGGCAUGCCUUACGCAUGCAAGUCGAACGGCAGCACGGGGGCAACCUUGGUGGCGAGUGGCGAACGGGUGAGUAAUAUAUCGGAACGUGCCCUAGAGUGGGGGAUAACGUAGCGAAAGUUACGCUAAUACCGCAUACGAUCUACGGAUGAAAGUGGGGGAUCGCAAGACCUCAUGCUCGUGGAGCGGCCGAUAUCUGAUUAGCUAGUUGGUAGGGUAAAAGCCUACCAAGGCAUCGAUCAGUAGCUGGUCUGAGAGGACGACCAGCCACACUGGGACUGCGAACGGCCCAGACUCCUACGGGAGGCAGCAGUUAGGAAUUUUCGGCAAUGGACGAAAGUCUGACCGAGCGACGCCGCGUGGAGGAUGACGCCUUUCGGGUGUAAACUCCUUUUCUGCGGGAAGAUAAUGACGGUACCGCAGGAAUAAGCACCGGCUAACUACGUGCCAGCAGCCGC
Molecule: ribosomal RNA, 470 nt
Filed under: uncultured bacterium
Lineage: Bacteria
Description: SSU rRNA
Rfam family: Bacterial small subunit ribosomal RNA
Source: RNAcentral